CGUACUGGAUAAAGAACUUCAGCAGCCGAAAACGCAAGGGAGCGAACAUAUUACGCCCCGUCUGCCCAUGAGACUUUAAGAAGCACCCACUUGAUGAGGCUCCUUAACCAGGGAUUACAAAGCAUAUACGGAAGGAAGAAUCGGACAUCAGUGAUUCACCGGCCACUAGAUCGAUGAAGAAUCUCUCCAAAAUAUGCUCUUUGAUCAGUGAUUCACCGGCCAAAUCAAUUAUGAAAUGAACCCACAUAUAAAAGUGGGAUGGUCUGCUCAUUAUUUGUGUUCGUACGUUUAUUAAUUCUUGCAAUACAAAUAAGACCUCC
Molecule: long non-coding RNA, 320 nt
Filed under: Panax ginseng (ginseng)
Lineage: Eukaryota; Viridiplantae; Streptophyta; Magnoliopsida; Apiales; Araliaceae
Description: long non-coding RNA (PGIN_LNC002161)
Source: RNAcentral